AUAUCAAUAAGCGGAGGAAAAGAAACCAACAGGGAUUGCCUUAGUAACGGCGAGUGAAGCGGCAAAAGCUCAAAUUUGAAAUCUGACACUUUCAGUGUCCGAGUUGUAAUUUGAAGAAAGUUUCUCUGAGUAGUCCUUUAUCUAUGUUCCUUGGAACAGGACGUCAUAGAGGGUGAGAACCCCGUAUGAUUUUGGAUACUAUUCUUUGUGAGAUUCUUUCGAAGAGUCGAGUUGUUUGGGAAUGCAGCUCUAAGUGGGUGGUAAAUUCCAUCUAAAGCUAAAUAUUGGCGAGAGACCGAUAGCGAACAAGUACAGUGAUGGAAAGAUGAAAAGAACUCUGAAGAGAGAGUGAAAAAGUACGUGAAAUUGCUGAAAGGGAAGGGCUUUAGGUUAGACUUGGUGUUUAGUGAUUAUCUUCCCUUCUGGGUUGUGCACUCGCUUUUCACUGGGCCAAUAUCAGUUUUGGAGGCAGAGCACCCUUUGGAAUGUAGCUUCUCUCGAGAAGUGUUAUAGCCUUGGGACGAUCUGCCGCUGGGACUGAGGACUGCGCAUUUUAUGCUAGGAUAUUGGCGUAAUAACC
This 580-nucleotide ribosomal RNA is filed under the name [Candida] sp. JW01-7-11-1-4-y3. RNAcentral's name for it is "eukaryotic LSU rRNA". It matches the Rfam family "Eukaryotic large subunit ribosomal RNA", at positions 40 to 639 of the family's 3401-position model. Lineage: Eukaryota; Fungi; Ascomycota; Saccharomycetes; Saccharomycetales. The record is from RNAcentral.